GCUAUUUAUGUCUGUACAAUUUCGAUGCCACUUAAUAUAUCAUCUUGUCUAUUCGUAAGUAAUUCCUGCAUCUUUCCACAUUUUCCGAUUCGGCAUAUGACGCCCGCAAAUACACUAUCAAUUAAUUCAGGAGAUUACCUAUGGCUACAACGACAGGCCGCGUAAAAUGGUUCGAUGAGAAAAAAGGCUUUGGCUUUAUUGAAAGACAGGACGGUAAUGACGUUUUCGUCCAUUUUAGAGCCAUAACAAGCCCCGGCUUCAAAACACUGGCUGAAGGUCAGGAAGUGGAAUUUGAAGUUGAGCAGGGCCAGAAAGGACCGCAGGCUGUUAACGUUACAGUUCUUUAACCC
RNAcentral lists this small RNA (350 nucleotides) under marine eukaryotic metagenome. RNAcentral's name for it is "cspA thermoregulator". The record is from RNAcentral.